AGAACGAACGCUGGCGGCAGGCCUAACACAUGCAAGUCGAACGCCUCGCAAGAGGAGUGGCAGACGGGUGAGUAACACGUGGGAACGUACCCUUCGGUUCGGAAUAACUCAGGGAAACUUGUGCUAAUACCGGAUACGAUCGCGAGAUGAAAGAUUUAUCGCCGAAGGAUCGGCCCGCGUCUGAUUAGCUAGUUGGUGAGGUAAUGGCUCACCAAGGCGACGAUCAGUAGCUGGUCUGAGAGGAUGACCAGCCACAUUGGGACUGAGACACGGCCCAAACUCCUACGGGAGGCAGCAGUGGGGAAUAUUGGACAAUGGGCGCAAGCCUGAUCCAGCCAUGCCGCGUGAGUGAUGAAGGCCUUAGGGUUGUAAAGCUUCUUUUACUCGGGAAGAUAGUGACGGUACCGAGAGAAUAAGCCCGGCUAACUUCGCGCCAGCAGCCGC
RNAcentral lists this ribosomal RNA (444 nucleotides) under uncultured bacterium. RNAcentral's name for it is "SSU rRNA". It matches the Rfam family "Bacterial small subunit ribosomal RNA", at positions 26 to 518 of the family's 1533-position model. The record is from RNAcentral.